AUUGAACGCUGGCGGCAGGCUUAACACAUGCAAGUCGAGCGGGGUGAUGGUGCUUGCACUAUCACUUAGCGGCGGACGGGUGAGUAAUGCUUAGGAAUCUGCCUAUUAGUGGGGGACAACAUCUCGAAAGGGAUGCUAAUACCGCAUACGUCCUACGGGAGAAAGCAGGCGAUCACUUGUGACCUUGCGCUAAUAGAUGAGCCUAAGUCGGAUUAGCUAGUUGGUGGGGUAAAGGCCUACCAAGGCGACGAUCUGUAGCGGGUCUGAGAGGAUGAUCGGCCACACUGGGACUGAGACACGGCCCAGACGCCUACGGGAGGCAGCAGUGGGGAAUAUUGGACAAUGGGGGGAACCCUGAUCCAGCCAUGCCGCGUGUGUGAAGAAGGCCUUAUGGUUGUAAAGCACUUUAAGCGAGGAGGAGGCUCUUUUGGUUAAUACCCAAGAUGAAUGGACGUUACUCGCAGAAUAAGCACCGGCUAACUCUGUGCCAGCCGCCGCGGUAA
Molecule: ribosomal RNA, 503 nt
Filed under: uncultured bacterium
Lineage: Bacteria
Description: partial 16S ribosomal RNA
Rfam family: Bacterial small subunit ribosomal RNA
Source: RNAcentral